AAAUAAAUUAGAGGUAGCAAUGCAAAUGAGUACUACACGAGAGGAGGCAUCCGACGACCGUGUACGAAAGGUAAUCAUUGCCGAACGUUAGCAACAGAGGUAUCUGGCUAGCGUGGGGGUAUAGGAAACACCUAUACCACUCGGACUUGAAUAAGUCUGGCGCUAAGUGAUCG
RNAcentral lists this non-coding RNA (173 nucleotides) under Lactococcus garvieae. RNAcentral's name for it is "Lysine". It matches the Rfam family "Lysine riboswitch aptamer". Rfam says of the family: Riboswitches are metabolite binding domains within certain messenger RNAs that serve as precision sensors for their corresponding targets. The record is from RNAcentral. Lineage: Bacteria; Bacillati; Bacillota; Bacilli; Lactobacillales; Streptococcaceae.